CCCCCCUGUCAGGGCCCUGAUUGGGCCGGACAGGAGGCGCAGGAGAGGCCCGGGCUUUCUAAAGGACACCAACAGGUGGGAGGCCGCUUUGGAGGGGGGCGCUCCUGGGCGGGAUAGAAAAGGCCGAUCUGCAAGGCCUGUCGUGAGCACAAUCCAGCGGGCCAGAUAUGGAGGAGGAUGGUUGAUCGCAGGAGGGCUGAGGGGAAGAGAGCAGAGGGGUAGCUUGAGAUGAGGGUUGGCUUUCAGGGACAAGGAGGAAGGUUGGUUCUGAGAGUUUGGUGUGCUUUUGGUCAUAGUGUUCCUUUUAAAUCUCUGCUUUUUGACAACUUUUUGUAGCUUUUCUUUUGUGUUGGGUUAAUGUCAAAGGUUAAUAUUUGUCAUCAACAAAUGGGCAGUACAGUGACAAAAGAGUCAAAAGUCUUCCAGACCUUUUGAGUCUUUCUAGUUUCCUUGAUUUGCAGCACCAUGUGAAGAAAAUCAGGCGUCAAACCAGAUGUUUUCUGUAGGUUUUUUACGAUAGACACCGCGGCAGAGCCCGAAACCUCUGCCAGGUGAGGGGGGAAGCUGAGGUGUGAUACAGGAAAGAAUCAGGAAUCACAGUCCAAUCAAAGUCUUUCUAAUGGCCAUUUGGUUAGGAGCUGGUUGACAUACAGUAGCAGUGGUUAGAUGUAUCACUAGACAGUGUAGGAGAGGCAACCACAAGAAACCCACAAGAGGAGACGCAACAGAAUCUAAUAAAGGUAAGGCUGAAGAGGACAUGACGGCAGAUGAGCUCCACCCUCUAUUUCCCAUCUGUCUCCUCUCUCGUGUCCUUCUUUUUCUAUGCCCUCUACCCCCUGUAACCUUCCCUCCUCCUCUUCUUCCUCCUCUUCCUCCUCCUCCUCUCGCUCGCUCUGCCUCUUGCAGCUGAAGCAACACGCCUUGCUGUGGCUGGUCAAACGGAACCAAGUCAGGUGUUUCUGUGAGGUUUGGUCCCCUUCAACCAGCUACUGCGUCGUGAAUUCAGUCAGCGCGGAGUCAAAGACACAGUGGCGUUGUGGCGUAUACGCUGCAUACUACUGAUAGAUGAUUUCUUUUCUUCAGUUUGAUGUUGAUUUGUUUCCUGUAUUGCAAUAGAUGUUUGAAAAAGCAAAUAAAAGAUUGCUGAUAACAUAGAGUGGUAAAUUACAAUUUCUUCUUGUAAGUUGUAAGUUGUCCCUGGCUGUAGAUGAUUUAAUAAAUACACAAAAUGUCAUGCAGAGCAGAGAGAUUUACUGAUAAAUGAAUAAAGAUUAUAAGAUGUUUGAUGGGUAAAAUGAGCAGAAAUCCUCUUUAGGUAUAUUAGAAAUGAAUAUAAGUAAAACUGUGACAAGGUGGUCUGAUGAUUGUGAGCAGAAAGCUGUUAUAAAAGUGUGCAGAAUGUAAUGUUCAGCUUACAACUGGCAACUGUUUGUAACAAAAUGUCUAAUGAUAAGAAACUAAAUAAAAGCUAAUUACUGUUUUUUUCUCAUUCGCUUUG
Sebastes umbrosus (honeycomb rockfish) is the source of this 1498-nucleotide long non-coding RNA. RefSeq lists it as uncharacterized. The transcript has 2 exons. Lineage: Eukaryota; Metazoa; Chordata; Actinopteri; Perciformes; Sebastidae. The record is from RefSeq and is a predicted model, not a curated record.